Long non-coding RNA from Apis cerana (Asiatic honeybee), 4807 nucleotides. RefSeq lists it as uncharacterized. Lineage: Eukaryota; Metazoa; Arthropoda; Insecta; Hymenoptera; Apidae. The record is from RefSeq and is a predicted model, not a curated record.
UUUCCUUUUUCUUUUUUUUUUUCGAUUAUCAAGUAUUUUUAACGCUCAUCCUCACGUGUUUUUUAAACCUGCGAAACAUUAUUGGAUUAAACAAAAAAAAUAGUAAACAAAAAGGAAUAAAGCAACGUUCAAUAUUUUGUGGUAAUUCAUAUUUUUAACGGCUAUGUUUCGUUGAAGUGGAAAUGUUUGAAAGUAAAUGAUUUGGGAAAAAGAAUCGUCAUAUAAGUUUAAAAAGAAAACAUUAGAAAGUAGAAGGUAGAACAGUUAAAGUAAACAAACAAUUAGAAUAGUGUCCAAGAUGAUAAAUUAAAAUUAACGGUUGUCAUCGUAGUUUAAAAUAAAAGUAUAAUAAUAUUAAAACUUUCUCAAUCUUUGAAACAAUUCUGAUAUAAUUUUAAACAUUUGCGAUAACGAAAAGGUUAAAAUAGAGUUUUUAACAUGAAAAAGAAACGUAAAAUGUGUUUUAUGUCAUAUUGCAAAUAAUAGUACUAAACAACGUAGUUUAUUUAUUGUUAUUAUGAAACUAUAUAUAUAUAUUAAUUACAGUAAGAAUUCUCGAAAUUGCUUGCUAUUAUUAUCAUAUCAUAAUUUAUUAUUAUCGUAUUAUUGAUAUCAUAUUGCAUCAAUAAUUACAUAAUUAUAAUAGCGUUAUUAUAUUACAUAAAAUUAAAUUCAAGUAACUUUAAUCAAAAUUUUAAAUGAAAUUUUCACACAUAAAUUAUGAAUUCAAUCAAAUUCAUUUUUUUUAUUUUUAAUUAUUCAAUUACAAUUAUAUUGUAAAUAUAAUAUAUUUACUCUUCAUAAUGUUACAAUAAAAAAAAUUUGAUAUUCAUUCUUGAUUAGUAAUUAUUAUCAUUUUGAACUAUAGACUUCACAUUGCUAUAUUUUUUCUUUAUCUAUAUGAUAACGAUAACAAUAAUAACAAUAAUAAUUUACCUAAAAUAAAAAAGCAUUAAAAAAAAGAACACGAAUUUUUUCGUAAAAUUUUCUUAAGCUGCUUUAGUAUCUUCGAAUUUUUGCUAAUUUUUAAAAUUUCAUUCGUGAAAAAAGAUUCUUUCUUGAGCAUUCGUCAAAUUUCCUUAUAUUAUAAAAUUUCUAAAUUUUUAGAGAUCUAAAUUAAUUCUUGCUUAAUCAGCUUUACUCUAUAUAAAUAAGCACUGGCAAACUAUUUAACGUUGAUAAAAUUUUCAAUAUGUAUAUUUGAACACGUUUCUCAAGUUUCUCAAAUUAUAAUUAUUAUUUAUAAAUAUCGUGUGAUCAACAUAUAAAUUUAGCAGAUUAAAUUUAUCAAAUACAGUUUAUAUAAUCUCAAAGAAAUUAAUAUAUUUGUAAUUAAAAGAUUAUAAUAAUAUUAUUACAAGAUUAUCUGUUAUUAAAAUAAAUUUUUUCUUAAUUGUAUUUUAAAGUCAUUAUUUUAAAAUAUUAAGCUUUUUUUAAUUUUAAAUAUAAUAUUAUAAUUUGUUUAAAAAACUUUUUAUCAGAUUAUUUUUCUUUUAAUGAUAACUUAGUCAUAUUUUUUUAAAUUAUGAAACAAAAUAAAAUAAAAGUUUACCUAUACUAAUAUUUUAAAAUUUAGAAAAAUUUUUACACAAUGAUACAACAUUUAUUAUAGAUUAUUGUCGAAAACAUGCAAAACAAAUAAAUCUAUUUGAUUUUACGAUUUUGCAAUGAAAAAAAUUGCUGAAGGCAAAGUUUACAUAACUCAAACAUUUUCAAACAGUGAUAUACAAUAAAUUAAUAAUCAAAUAACCAAAUAAAUUUAAAAUUCAAUUAUUUUUUCUCGAUAAAUUAUUAAAAAAUAUUUAAGAUUUUAUAAAUAUUUCGUAAAUUUAUCCAAUCGAAAAUUUACAUCGAUUAAUGUUUCAGAAAACUAAUUUAAUCACUAUAGUUUGAAAUUCAGUGAAAUUGAGUCACUGAAUUAAUAAAUGUUUUAUACGAAUCAAAUCAAUUUUACUUAUAAUAAUCCUUUGAUGAGACCGUCACUUAAAUUCUUAUUUCUAUUUUUUGAUCAUAAGUUAUUUUUAGAUUUUUUUCUUUCUUUCCUUCUCUUUCUCUCUUUCACUCACACAUUUUCAUAAUUAUGAUAUUUAUUAUUUAUCGAACAAUUUUAUUGUUUUUAUUUCUUAUAAUAAUAUAAUAUCCAAUCAUAAUCGUAAUUCUAAUUAUGAUUAUAACUUGAUAAAAACAUUAUUCUCUCUAAAUCGAUAUUUCUAAUGGAAAGUUUCUUGACCGCUUUCAUCGCUAUCAUUGUUCGUGAUAUCGGUGCAAACAAAUAUGAACAAGUCUAUUCAUCGAUCGCACGUGCAAAUCGUUGAACAAAACCGGUUAACUAGAGUGAUAAAUUUGAUAAAUUUUCGAUUCAUAUUCCUUUUUCUAAUAUUUUUAAUAACAAACUUUUUAGAAUAAGAAAGAAUAAUUUUCUCUCUUGAAAUUGCUUAUUCUUACAGUUUAAAUUAAGUAAAAAAUAAAAUUUAAAAUUAAAUUUUUCAUUAACUUCAAAAACUUAAAAUUUCAGAAUUAUUUAUUAUUUUACUUAUUUUUUUUAAAACAAGUAGACUUUAUUAAAAUGUUAAAAACACGUUAUUUGUUAAAAUAUUAAAGAGAUAAAUCACGUUCUUUGUUUGUUAAAAUGUUAAAGAAAUAAAUCAUACUGUUUGUAAAAAAUUAAAGAAAAUUUAUGAAUCCUAGAUUUAAUUUAAUAUCAAGCUCAAUUAAGUAAUUAAAAUGUAAUUUUUUUUGAAGAAACGAAAGAGACGACUCAAAUCUUCUUAAGUAAUAAAUUUAUAUUUCAACAUUGCGAAAAUCUCAAUUUCCAUAUUUACGAAUAUGAUUCUUUUUCUUGCACUCUUCUGCUAUAACAUCUCAGAAAUUUUCCAUCCAUGCAAACUGCUAUCGAUGUUCUCGUUUUCAAUCAUUGGUCUUAUCUAGUUCGCAAUGAAAUAUGAUUUAUACUUACACAUUAGAAAUUUCGCAUGCUUCUUAGUAGAUCAAUGAAUUUCAAAUACAAUAUACGUAAACGUAUUUACCUUUAUCCUUAAUAGAAUUUUAAAUUAAGCAAUAUUAUUUCAAUAUUAAAAUUUUACGUAGAAGAUGACCCAAUAACAAGAAGAAAAUUAGAAUAUGAAUAGAAUUCGUUGAGAUGAGUUCAGAUCAUAAAAAAUAAAAAAAUGAUAACGAUAACCUUUUAGUUAUAGUGUAAGAAAUGAAAAAUAUAAAAAUUUUUUAAUAUUGUAAAAACAUUGCCUCUAAUCUUUCAGAUUUAGUACAAAGAUAACUUGGGAAAAUUAAAUGGCUAUUAUUGAAAUUUUAAUUUUUAAACAUAUCAUUUGAUCUUUUUAAUUUUUAUUAUCAAUCAUAUUUUUUUCUUGAUUUUAUAAAUUAGUAUUUUAAAAUGAAUAAAUGAUAAUUUCCUUUAAUUCAUUUUAAAUCUAAUCUUUAUAUGCUUAUUCAAAAUUAUCUUUAUAUAGGAAAAAAUAUUUGCUAAUUUGUAAUGAAUUACAAAAUUGUAGUGAAUAACAAAUCAAUAAAAAUCAUAUAAAAAUCAAUAAAAGUAAUGAUCUUUAAAUGAUUCGUCACAUCUUGAAAAAUAUAUCAUAUAUCAAUUUCAUAUUUUAAUAUUUUCAUAUUUUAAUAAACUUAGUAUAAUGUAAAUUAAAACAAAGCAUCUUUUAAUUUAAAUAUGUUUAUUUAAUUUCACAAAAAAAUGUCGUGUUCAUCAAUAUUUUAUUUCUUCGUCUUUCAUCUAUAAAAUCGGAUACUUUGUUUGAUGACGGUUUUCUAUGCACGAGAUCAACGACGAUCGCAAACAAUAACACGAGCAAAAAUAUGUACGACGCACGUGCCGCACGUGGAUGAUAAUGAUACGCACGUGAUAGCUUGCUAUCAGCCAGUUAAUCUGAUUGAUAAUUGUAUGAUAUCCAGCUUCUAAUACUACAUUCAUUGUAAAUAGGAACAUUCGUACUUCGAUAAAAAUUCUUUGUGUGCCAACGGAAACGGAAAAAGAAAUAGAACGUGUCUGAUUAAAUUGUCGUCGAUAAAUAUUAUUUGAUAUCUUGUAGAAAUUUUUCUUUACAAAUGAAUUUUUAGAAGAUUUUAUUUAUUAUCAAAAUAAUUAAUAAUAAAGUUUUAAUAUUAGAGAUAAACUAGAUAAGAAUCAUUUUUUUAUGACUACUUAUAAAUAUCCUACUUUUAUAAUUCGAAAUUUUGAAAAGUCAAAUAAAAAUAACUCAAAAAUUAAAUUCUUCGUAAACCAAAAAAAUAAUUAUUGUUAUUAUUGAUUGUUUAUUGAUUAUCUUGAAUAUAAAAAAUUAUGAGAGAUAGUUUAAAAUUUAACUUAAAUGUAGAUUUUUUUUAAUAUUUAUAUAAUAUAAUAUUUAUAAUAUUUAUAAAUUUUUUUAACAUUGAGAACAAUGAUUUUUAUUUUUUAAAUACAAAUAAUUUUUUCCUAUAUUCUUUAUUAAUUCUCUUUAUAUGUUAUAUAUAAGAAUUAUUAUAUAUAAGAAGAAGUCUUUGAUGAAUGGAAAAAUUUAUAAACGUAGAUAGAAGGAACGUAUAAUUUAAAAAAAUUCCACAUUUCAUUGAAGUAUCUUCGAUAAAAAAAUUAUGCAAAUUAAUAAUGUAAAUAUUUUAUAAGCAGAGUGUCGAAGUAUUUUUUGCAUUUAUAUUAAAAAUUCAAAUAUAAAAAAAUAUACAGAAUAUAUAUAAUAUGUAAAAAAAUUUAUUUAAAAUAAAAAAUACAAAAUACAAAAAAUACAUUAUAAUAGUUAAAUAUAUGUAUAUUAACAAAUAAAUUUUGAAUGAAAAUCAC